AUUGAACGCUGGCGGUAUGCUUAAGACAUGCAAGUCGAACGGUAACAGGUUAAGCUGACGAGUGGCGGACGAGUGAGUAACGCGUGGGAAUCUACCUUGUAGUGGGGGAUAAGCCAGGGAAACUUGGACUAAUACCGCAUACGCCCUAAGGGGGAAAGGCGCAAGUCGCUAUAAGAUGAGCCCGCGUCUGAUUAGGUAGUUGGUGGGGUAAAGGCCUACCAAGCCGACGAUCCGUAGCUGGUCUGAGAGGACGAUCAGCCACACUGGGACUGAGACACGGCCCAGACUCCUACGGGAGGCAGCAGUGGGGAAUAUUGGACAAUGGGGGAAACCCUGAUCCAGCAAUGCCGCGUGUGUGAAGAAGGCCUGCGGGUUGUAAAGCACUUUUGGCAGGGAUGAAAAGCACUGGCCUAACAAUCCAGUGUGUUGACCUAACCUGCAGAAGAAGCACCGGCUAACUCUGUG
RNAcentral lists this ribosomal RNA (465 nucleotides) under uncultured bacterium. Its description in RNAcentral is "bacterial SSU rRNA". It matches the Rfam family "Bacterial small subunit ribosomal RNA", at positions 30 to 507 of the family's 1533-position model. The record is from RNAcentral.